RNAcentral lists this ribosomal RNA (117 nucleotides) under Danio rerio (zebrafish). Lineage: Eukaryota; Metazoa; Chordata; Actinopteri; Cypriniformes; Danionidae. The record is from RNAcentral.
AUUCACAGCCAUAUCACCCUGCAGCCCAAGACCGGUUACUCACUGAAGCUAAGCAGGGCUGAGCCUGGUCAGUACCUGGAUGGGAGACCACAUGGGAAAACUAGGUUGCUGUUGGAA